ACGAACGCUGGCGGCGUGCUUCACACAUGCAAGUCGAACGGUGAAGCGCCUUCCUUUUUGGUGGGUGUGGAUGAGUGGCGAACGGGUGAGUAACACGUGAGUAACCUGCCCCCUUCUUCUGGAUAACCGCAUGAAAGUGUGGCUAAUACGGGAUAUUCUGGGUCUGUCGCAUGAUGGGUCUGGGAAAGAUAUUGUUUCGGUGGGGGAUGGGCUCGCGGCCUAUCAGCUUGUUGGUGGGGUGAUGGCCUACCAAGGCGGUGACGGGUAGCCGGCCUGAGAGGGUGGACGGUCACACUGGGACUGAGACACGGCCCAGACUCCUACGGGAGGCAGCAGUGGGGAAUAGUGCACAAUGGGCGCAAGCCUGAUGCAGCGACGCCGCGUGAGGGAUGGAGGCCUUCGGGUUGUGAACCUCUUUCGCCAGUGAAGCAGGCCUGCCUCGUUUGUGGGUGGGUUGACGGUAGCUGGAUAAGAAGCGCCGGCUAACUACGUG
RNAcentral lists this ribosomal RNA (493 nucleotides) under uncultured bacterium. RNAcentral describes it as "partial 16S ribosomal RNA". It matches the Rfam family "Bacterial small subunit ribosomal RNA", at positions 29 to 507 of the family's 1533-position model. The record is from RNAcentral.